GCUAAGUUGCUUCAGAGCAUAGUAAAGCAAAGUAAAAAUGGUGCAACAGAACUGUAGUUGCAUUUCUUCAACUGUCAAGAGUUACUAAGGCAAGUUGCCUAAUUAGCUAUUGGCAAAUGAGAUUUACUGCCAAAUAUUUUAACAUGUCUUUGCAAAAUCUUCACAAAACUUUGGUAUGCUUACCCACAACAAAAGGGUUUGAUUUCUCACAUGUCUACAGAAUGAUGCUUCUCUACUUUCUUCUAGUACUGCGUCUCGUAGCUGAAGUCACUACUACAGAGACCUCUUCUUUAGCUAUUGUUGGAACUUCUGGUUUGUUGCUACUUUUCUUUUUUUUCUUUGUUUCACUCUUUGGUGUUUCUUCUGCUUCACUUUCUUCUUUUU
RNAcentral lists this unclassified non-coding RNA (384 nucleotides) under Hevea brasiliensis (rubber tree). Lineage: Eukaryota; Viridiplantae; Streptophyta; Magnoliopsida; Malpighiales; Euphorbiaceae. The record is from RNAcentral.